Molecule: small RNA, 76 nt
Filed under: Rugositalea oryzae
Lineage: Bacteria; Pseudomonadati; Pseudomonadota; Alphaproteobacteria; Hyphomicrobiales; Nitrobacteraceae
Description: Rhodoplanes sp. Z2-YC6860 Makes More Granules Regulator RNA (mmgR)
Rfam family: Makes More Granules Regulator RNA (mmgR)
About the family: SuhB later renamed mmgR (makes more granules regulator) was a putative non-coding RNA found multiple times in the Agrobacterium tumefaciens genome and related alpha-proteobacteria. Other non-coding RNAs uncovered in the same analysis include: speF, ybhL, metA, and serC.
Source: Rfam by way of RNAcentral
UCCCGCCGCCCUCCUUGGGCGUUUCCUCCCUAGACUUGGGCCGUCGGCUUGCCGACGGCCCUCUUUCUUUUUUGAG